CAAUAGCGUAUAUUUAAGUUGUUGCAGUUAAAAAGCUCGUAGUUGGAUUUCGGAUGGGACUUGCCGGUCCGUCGUUUCGAUGUGCACUGGCCAGUCCUAUCUUGUUGUCGGGGACUAGCUCCUGGGCUUCACUGUCCGGGACUAGGAGCUGACGAGGUUACUUUGAGUAAAUUAGAGUGUUCAAAGCAAGCCUACGCUCUGAAUACAUUAGCAGGGAAUAACACGAUAGGACUCUGGCUUAUCUUGUUGGUCUGUGAGACCAGAGUAAUGAUUAAGAGGGACAGUCGGGGGCAUUCGUAUUUCAUUGUCAGAGGUGAAAUUCUUGGAUUUAUGAAAGACGAACUUCUGCGAAAGCAUUUGUCAAGGAUGUUUUCAUUAA
RNAcentral lists this ribosomal RNA (379 nucleotides) under uncultured eukaryote. Its description in RNAcentral is "partial 18S ribosomal RNA". It matches the Rfam family "Eukaryotic small subunit ribosomal RNA", at positions 592 to 976 of the family's 1831-position model. The record is from RNAcentral.